Molecule: ribosomal RNA, 468 nt
Filed under: uncultured bacterium
Lineage: Bacteria
Description: partial 16S ribosomal RNA
Rfam family: Bacterial small subunit ribosomal RNA
Source: RNAcentral
GACGAACGCUGGCGGCGGGCUUAACACAUGCAAGUCGAACGGAAAGGCCCUGCUUUUGUGGUGUUCUCGAUUGGCGAACGGGUGAGUAACACGUGAGUAACCUACCCUUCACUUUGGGAUAACUUCAGGAAACUAGGGCUAAUAUCGUAUAGCAUCUCCUGCUCCAUUGUGGGGGGUGGAAAGUUUAGGCGGGUGGGGAUGGACUCGCGGCUUAUGAGUUUGUUGGUGGGCGAGGUGCUUACCAAGGGAUUGACGGGUAGGCGGCAGGAGAGGGUGAACGGGCACAUGGGGACUGAGAGAGGGACCAGACUCCUACGGGAGGCAGCAGUGGGGAAUCUUGCACAAUGGGAGCAAGCCUGAUGAAGAGACGCUGCGUGCGGGAUGACGGCCUUCGGGUUGUAAAACGCUUUCGCCUGUGACGAAGCGUGAGUGACGGUAACGGGUAAAGAAGCACCGGCUAACUACGUG